RNAcentral lists this ribosomal RNA (419 nucleotides) under bacterium. RNAcentral's name for it is "partial 16S ribosomal RNA". It matches the Rfam family "Bacterial small subunit ribosomal RNA", at positions 355 to 776 of the family's 1533-position model. The record is from RNAcentral.
UGGGGGAUAUUGCACAAUGGGCGAAAGCCUGCUGCAGCGACGCCGCGUGGGGGAUGAAGGCCUUCGGGUUGUAAACUUCUUUUGCUCUGAACAAGGCAUGCUAAUGGGUGUGUUGAGUGUAGGGGUUGAUUAGCGCCGGCUAACUACGUGCCAGCAGCCGCGGUAUUACGUAGGGCGCGAGCGUUGUCCGGAAUUAUUGGGCGUAAAUGGCUUGAAGGUGGCUGGUUGCGUCUGUCGUGAAAGCUCUGGGCUUAACGAGCGGGUUGCGGUUGGUACGGGCUAGCUUGAGUGCAGGAGGGGAGGCUGGAAUUCCUCGUGUAGCGGUGGAAUGCGCAGAUAUCAGGAGGAAUACCGGCGGCGAAGGCGGGGCUCUGGGCUGUUACUUACACUGAUGAGCGAAAGCAUAGGGAGCGAACAGG